Molecule: transfer RNA, 71 nt
Filed under: Rubrobacter radiotolerans
Lineage: Bacteria; Bacillati; Actinomycetota; Rubrobacteria; Rubrobacterales; Rubrobacteraceae
Also listed under: 1 other name
Description: tRNA-Gly (TCC) (tRNA-Gly-TCC-1-1)
Rfam family: tRNA
About the family: Transfer RNA (tRNA) molecules are approximately 80 nucleotides in length. Their secondary structure includes four short double-helical elements and three loops (D, anti-codon, and T loops). Further hydrogen bonds mediate the characteristic L-shaped molecular structure. tRNAs have two regions of fundamental functional importance: the anti-codon, which is responsible for specific mRNA codon recognition, and the 3' end, to which the tRNAs corresponding amino acid is attached (by aminoacyl-tRNA synthetases). tRNAs cope with the degeneracy of the genetic code in two manners: having more than one tRNA (with a specific anti-codon) for a particular amino acid; and 'wobble' base-pairing, i.e. permitting non-standard base-pairing at the 3rd anti-codon position.
Source: Rfam by way of RNAcentral
GCGGGUGUAGCUCAAUGGUAGAGCCUCAGCCUUCCAAGCUGAUGAUGGGGGUUCGAUUCCCCUCACCCGCU